UACAGGGGGGGCAAGCGGUUGUUCGGAAUUACUGGGCGUAAAGGGCCAGUAGGGCGGCCAACUAAGUCACACGUGAAAUCCCAGGCUUAACCUGGGAACUGCGUGUGAUACUGGAUGGCUUGAAUUCGGGAGAGGAUGCAGAAUUCCAGGUGUAGCGGUGAAAUGCGUAGAUAUCUGGAGGAACACCGGUGGCGAAGGCGGAUCUCUGGCCAUUACUGACGCUGAGGAGCGAAAGCGUGGGAGCGAACGAGGA
This 253-nucleotide ribosomal RNA is filed under the name uncultured bacterium. RNAcentral's name for it is "partial 16S ribosomal RNA". It matches the Rfam family "Bacterial small subunit ribosomal RNA", at positions 524 to 777 of the family's 1533-position model. The record is from RNAcentral.